AUAGCGUAUCGAAGGUAGACGCGGAGAACUGAAACAUCUUAGUACCCGCAGGAAGAGAAAGAAAAAUCGAUUCCCUGAGUAGCGGCGAGCGAAACGGGAAUAGCCCAAACCAACGAGCUUGCUUGUUGGGGUUGUAGGACACUCUAUACGGAGUUACAAAGGAAUAGAUUAGACGAAGCAUCUGGAAAGGUGCAUCAAAGAAGGUAAUAAUCCUGUAGUCGAAAAUCUGUUCUCUCUUGAGUGGAUCCUGAGUACGACGGAACACGAGAAAUUCCGUCGGAAUCCGGGAGGACCA
This 295-nucleotide ribosomal RNA is filed under the name Mesorhizobium sp. M1D.F.Ca.ET.234.01.1.1. Its description in RNAcentral is "partial 23S ribosomal RNA". It matches the Rfam family "Bacterial large subunit ribosomal RNA", at positions 166 to 455 of the family's 2925-position model. The record is from RNAcentral. Lineage: Bacteria; Pseudomonadati; Pseudomonadota; Alphaproteobacteria; Hyphomicrobiales; Phyllobacteriaceae.